UCUAUUUCAGAUUUGCUCGCAUGACUUAAGAAACUUCAAAACUGUGUACCCUGCUUGCACAGCUCCGAAUUGGUAUGCAGAGGUGGCUAUUGCUACUGUGGUUGCCUUAUUACAGAAGUCGGCAAUGGCCACCCUCCCGGGGUGUGCCUGUGAAGACCGGAAAGGUAAAAGCAAGAAGACAGGAGAGGCCACCUUCACACACCCUUUCAAAUUGAUUAACCUUUAUGGCACGACAGCAUUGGACAAUAUUUUAAAAGUUCAAAAGAAGUUUUCUUCCUAAACAUUUACUUAGCUUUUGGCCUUGAGUUGAAGAGAAUCAAAGAUAUACACCAUUCCUAGAACCUAGAUACAAGAUCCAGGGGUUUUUUCCAAACCAGCAACUCUUGCAGAAUAUUCAUGAAACUCUACGGUGUGCGGCCAAGAAGACACCUGAACUCAAGCUGCAGAUCUGAUACGACUUCCCAAUGCGAUGGUGUAUGACGUGUGAGCCCUAAGUCCUGAAAGCUACACUCUUUAGAACAUGCUUCACACAUUGUAUUGGACCUGCCUUCUGAAUACUUUCUCUCCACGACUGUGGGUCCUGCUUAUAAAGCCUGUGCUGUCUUCAUCAAAGAACCUCCAGCAUCUAGCAUGACGCCUGGUGCAUAGCUACGUCACCGGCAUGACAGACGAGACACAAGUCCCAGGAGGGCAGGGCGUCUGUAGGGUUUGCUCACUGCUCUGUCCCAGUGCCUGGCACGUAGAGGUGCUCAGCAAGUAUUUGCUGAGUGAGCAUCAGGCCGUUGAGGAGUGGAAAGUCAAGUUCUCACCACCCAGAGGCGUGCCCCAGGAUUUCUCAGAUUGUUUCACUUGCACAGACUGAGGUAGCUUUAGCAGGAGGGAGGAUGGGAAGGGUGAGAGGCAGUGGCUGUGAAAGGCAGGGAGGGUGAGGCAUCUUCAACCUUGACCGUCACUCUUACCCUGAUACAGACGGGGCUCCAGCAGCCCAGCCACCUACUCUCCUGCCGACCACUGAGAUCUGAGAGUCAGGAAGCCAAGCUGCCUUUCUACAGAGUGAUGCUGCUUCAGAAGAUGACCGGAGCGUCCUUGUCGGCAGCCCCUCUGUCUCACACAUUGCAACUGCUUCCCACGCAGUCCUGCCCUGAUGCUCCCAGCCUUGCCCUUAAGUGACCCUGAAAGCUGCCUUUUUCCAGAUGAGGAGACGCAGCACAUUUUUGCCAUUGGCAGGCUCCCUCGGGCCAGGAUUCCUAAAUAGAUUUAAAUCGAACAACUUAUCUCUUGGAAACUGAUUAGCACCCUGAUGUUUGCUCAGCUGCCUAUGUUGAAAUCUACUCUUAUCCAUCAACUAGCAGAUAUGGAAUACCUCCUGGGAGUCUGGGACCCUGCUAGGUCCAGAGAAACAUGAAGUAGUCCACACCAGGAAGCAGUUUCCUCCUUGCCUGGGGAGGCCCGAGAAAGUAGAGGACAGCAGCUAGGUGCUUCAUCAUGUGACAUGUGACAUGGGUGCCAAGGUCGCAGCAGUUGAGGGACUGGAGGGUGACUGGGGAUGGCAGUAGGUGGGGGCUGUGAGGCUGAGACUCAAGCAGAUGGAGCACAGAAGUGGGGAAACACAGUCGUGAGGGUGGCUGGGAGCACAGGCAUGGGGGCAUGAUGUCUCAGGACACCUCAAGGAGGCCUGCCUGGAUAGAGCGCGUGUGCCAGGACACCUGGUCGACAGGGCUGACUAGCUGGGGCAGGGCCAGCCGCCAGGGGCCAUGGAAGGCCGUGACGUAUGAAGAAUUACACGGGUGAUUCUGAGAGGUCAACUUGCUCAGCAGGCAGAAUGGGAAACAGACCAGAGGCUGCAGGGACACCAACCAGAGAGGAGUGUGGCUGGCACGAGGUAGUGCAGGCUGGUCUGGGGUAGAUGGGGUGGGAAAGAAAGGAUAAGGCGAGGUAAGAACGGCAGGAUGUGGCGACAGAGUGGGUGCACUGGACGACAGAAAGAGAGGCUUUGGGCCCCAUGAGGUAAGAGGGGUCAAAAGUUUAGGGCAAAAUUCAAUGACACAAAAUUAGCAAGAGAGCUGUUUAAUUUCUUUUUAAAAAAAAUUGCAUCAUCUUUUUAAAUUAUGGUAAAAUACACAUAACAUGAAAUUUACCAUUUUAGACAUUUUUAAGUGUACAGUUCAGUGGCAUUAAGUACUUUCAUGAUGUUGCAUAACCAUCACCAGCACCCAUCUCCGGGACUCUUUCAUCUUCGUAAACUGAAGCUCUGUCCCCAUUAAACUAACUCCCCAUCCCAUCCCCAUCGCCCCUGGCAACCCCCAUUCUGCUUUCUGUCUCCAGGAAUCUGAUUCCUCUAGGGACCUCUUAUAAGUGGAAUCUUACAGUAUUUGUCCAUUUGUGACAGGCUUACUUCACUCAGUGCAACGUCCUAAAGGUUCAUCCAUGAUGUAGCAGGUGUCAGAAUUCCCUCCCUUUUUAAGACUGAACAGUAGCCCAUUGUAUGCAUAUACACAUUUUGUUUACCCAUCAUCUGUUGAUGGACACUUGGGUUGCUUCCACCUUCUGACUAUUGCGAAUAAUGCUGAUACGUAUAUGUGUGUACAAAUAUCUGUUCGAGUUCCUGCUUUCAAUUUAUCUUUCUCUUCUUGCAUUUUAUGAUAAGCAAAUCAAGUCAUUUCUUCAACAUUUUGCUUAUAAAUCUCUUCAGGUAAAUAUCCAGUUUUAUUGCUUGAAAGUUUUACCUUCCGCGAAACACUGGAACACAGAUCAUCCAAGUUCUUUGCCUUUUUAUACUAAGGAUCGCCUUUCCUCCAGUUUCCAAUAAGAUGUUCCUCAUUUCUGUGCGAGACUUUAUAAGAAAGGCCUUUAACAUCCAUAUUUCUGCCAGCAUUCUGUUCAUGACGAUAAAGGUAUUUUCUAAGAUGACAGAGGCUCUCUCUAGCUCUUCUCUUUCCUCCUGAGUCCUCACCAGAAUCGCCUUUAACAACCACGUAUCUCCCUAUAGUCACUUUAAGGCAAUCCAGGAUUUUUCUGGCAUGCAUCUUAAAACUUCCACCUCUACCCAUCACCCAGCUCCAACACCACUUCCACAUAUUUAGAUCUUCAUUACAGCAGCACCUUGCUUCUCAGCACCCAAAUCUGUAUUAGUCUGCCUGCAGACUAUGUGGCUUGAACAAUCGGAAUUUAUCUUCUCACAGUUCUGGAGGCUCGAUGUCCAAGAUGAAGACGCCAGCAAAUUCAGUUCCUGGCAAGAGCUCUCUUCCUGGCUUGCAGGCAACCACCUUCUUGCCAUGUCCUCACAUGGCCUCUGCUCUGUGCAUACGCGGAGAGAGAGAGAUCUCUUCUUAGAAAGACACCAGUUCUAUCAGACUAGGGUCCCACCCUUAUGACCUCAUCUAACCUUAAUUACCUUCUUAAAGGCCCUCUCUCCAAACACAGUCACACUGGGGUUUAGGGCUUCUACAUAUGAAAUUUGUUCCACAGCUCAGUCCAUAACAGCAUACAUCUCAUGGCCUUGUUUAGCUGGCUGUGACAUCAUGAAAUGAGUGCUGGACCUCAGUCAGGUCAAUUUCUCCCCUCAUCCAAGCCCGUCCUCCUUGGAAAGCCAUUUAACCACAAUGGGUCUCAGAAACGUCAUGGGGGAAAACGUGACCUUUUCUCAGAGUUGCACGAAAGGUUAAAUCCAAUCAUGAACGUGGAGACAUUUUAGUACCCCAAGGAAUUCCUAGUCACAGCCUUUGAGGUCCCCGCAAUGGUCUAACAGUCAAAUGACCAAAGCCUGUCUCUAUCCUCAUCGCUGGGCACACUCUUCACACUGACCUCUUGCCUGCUAGUAAGUGCGGGAGGAGAGCAUCCUCUUUUUAGGCACUGUUUGGGAAGAGAGAUGGAGGAUGGCAAACACUUUGUCUCAAAGGAGUCUCAGCUGUGUUCGGUCUCAGCAGGACCUGAGUGGGUGGUGGUGUCUGCCGUGGGUGUGGGGAGUGGGGCCAGACGUAGCCCAGACCAGCUGCGGCUCUGGUGGUCAAUCACUAGGCUCCUGUUUUUCAAUUUUCUAGGCUCUCAGUAACCCUCUUAUCACUCUCCAGUGCAGGAUUUGUUUUUCAAGGAUAUGGAAUCCUAAUGCCAGAAGGCGGUAAGCACUUUUUAAUGAUCAAACCUAAAACCACUGUCCUGUCAAUCCCCUGUAUAUAUGGAAAUGAGCAGAGUGCCUUACACUAAGUGAAUGUUUCAUGAGUGAAUUCCUGCAUGCACACACGAAGCACUUCUGAGGACGCAUUGCUAGCCUUCAUGCCUCCAGCAUUGUACCUUGAAUUACAAAGCAGAUAGAAGAGCAGACCGCCACAGGUCAUCCAGACAAGACAGAUACUUCCGAUAACUAAACCAAUACACAGUGACCAGCAGAUUUACCCACGUUUACAUGCACUCCCCUUCUGGUUGCUCUCACAGCGAUUUUUCAGUCUGCCAUUCAGCACUUCCCAUGUGAUAUUAUAUUACAUAAUUCUGCUUGUCGUUCUUACUAGACAAUGAACUCCCUGAGGGCAGGCAGCACCUCAUUCGUCUGUGUUGCUGAAGCCUGGCACACAGUCUCUUCCAUCAUUCGGGUCGUGUGUGGGAUGAUUCAACAGGUGAACGGGGAGGGGUGCCGUCCAGCUCCCAGGGCUGGCGAUGUGAGCGAUGUCUUCCCCUCCUCAUUCCUUUCUCCCACAUCUCAUCACCUAAGGGUAGCAAAGCAGGCACCACUUGAUUUAUUUUGGUCUUUGUGUCUGCACACGCAUACAUUAGCUGGCUUUUUAAAAAGAGGUGGCUCAUGGAAAGACUGGAAUUAGAUGUUAUUUUGGAUGCUCGCAGAGCUAAUUAUGGGAUUAGAAAAAUGCCCUUCCCCUGAACAGGAAUUGUGAUGCUUCCUAUUUCUUAAUGUAAAACAUGAAGUAAACAUAAUUUACUGUCAUUUUUAAUGUUCCAGUACAUUUCAGAGACCCAUUUAAGAUACAUGAUUUUCAAAUGCGAGAUCAGCAGGGUGGGAAAGCCUCUAUGGAAUUAAUGUGCUACAACGUAUUCGAAUAGCUGUAACUCCAGGGCCGGCCUUGAUACUUGUUUUGUUGCCAUCAGGGAGGGAAGCACAAGAACACAUAAACAGGGCCUUGCCAAUGGGAUGUGUUCUCCCUGGGCCGUUAAUUCAAAUGCUCAUUUUCUAGCUCAACCCAGAUGAUCAGAGAGGUUACAAGACAAGCCGCUGAAAUGUUUAUUGUGACGAACGUGUAGCGGGUGGGACAGGAGGAGGAGUGUAAAAUAUGAGUGUGUUCAGCUUUAGAUAUAUACAGAGGAGAGAUGUUGAAAUCUGUCAGAUAUAACGAAGAAGUGUUUUAAAAAUAGAUACACAUGGUUAAAAAUAGAUACACAUGGUUAAAACUCAAAACAAGUGAAAAAAUUUUAAUAAAAAUCUACACGUUAGGACCUACAAUUAGAAUAUACAGCUAUUUACUGGGGGGCUUUGGGGAGAAGAAUUUAAAAAAAAAAGAAGACUGGCAACAGAUGUUAGCUCAGGUGCCAAUCUUUCAGAAAAAACAAAACAACAACUACAUGUUAAAAAGUCGUUCUCCCACCUCUUAUUUAGUAGUUUCUGGAAUGUCUCUCCAGCACUCCUUUAUGCAUAAAUGGAUAUAUUUUAUUUUCCCCAAAAAAGUAAGAUUAUAAAGGAGGAAUGUUCAUUGCAGAUCACGUUUAUUUUGUACUUACGACACGCUCUAAGCGUCCAUUGAAUCCUGACCUCGAUCCUGAGAGGUGAGCACGGUUACCACCCCCUCUACAGCUGCAGAGACUGAGGCAAGCACACCCCGAGGGAGGUGACUCCCACAGCAGGUGUCGAGGCAGGAUCUGCACCGGCCGGGUUUGAGCUCCCAACCUCUACCCCCUUGCCCUCAGACAGAGAGAAAAAUCUGCAGAGUUUCUAUUAUCUCCAAGGAGACAAACCAUUUCUCCCCAGGUCCUAGAAGACAGGCCAGGGAAGUCCCUGGAACAUGAAGAGUGGAGCAGCAAAGAGUGUCCCCAGCCAGAGAGCCACGGUGGGGAGGUCAGUGCCGCGGUCGUUUCAGCAUCUGUGAGGGAGACCCACGCUGCCUGCAAAUCAUGUCCAGGGUGUGGUGGAAAUGCACAUCAACCUGGGUGGUCCUGCUGUCUAUUCCAGGAUAAAAUCCAAGCCUGCUGGAGGGUCAGGACAUAGCGGUGAAUUUAUGUGCCCAGCACCUAGUCUCUCACAUACAAGAUGCUGAAUGAAUGGAUGCCCAGAACGAGAGAUGGAACCAUUCACUAAUCCAUUAAACGAACAAUUGACAGCCACUAUGGGCCAGAUGCUGGACUAGAAUGGUAGGGAUACGGGGGUGAACAGGACAUGCUUCUGCCUCAAGGAAUCUGCUGUUUAGAGAAGAACACGCAGGCACACAGGAUGCCGCGACGUGGUGUUGUGAAUGUUGUGGCGAUGGUACAUGCACGGGGGGGGGCACCAAGAUGGCCACUGUGUCUGUCAGGAAGUUGAAAGUAUACAGCCUUUGCUGACUAAUAUCGUCACAGCCGUGGGAAAGCUGCUUCGUGUGGAGUGGAGGAAAAGGUCACUGGAGUGGAGAAAGUCAAGGAACUGAGAAGUAGACUGUCAGCUGGGCCAGCCAUAUAGACAUCGAAGUCACCAGAGUCGCGGUAGGACGUAGUAUAACGAAGACAAUGAGCAGUUGCCGAAGCCUCUAGAGCACAAGCGAGGGAGACUGAUCAGGAGGGUUAGGCGACAGCACAUCAGAGGGACAGGGUGUAGACUAGCCAGCCUGUGUGAGUCUCAAAGCUGUACAAGUGACAAGGAAGGGACAACUCCUCGUGCUGACCCUGAGGCUUGAGGAGAAUGAAGAGCAGCCAUAGGUGAGGGCUGCUGGGAAAGGGAUCCCUGACAUCCUCAGGAGAGGCCAACUCUGCCAAACACGUACAGGUGGGGAGUGCGCAGUGGGAGGCUCGAGGAUAGGGGUGUCCGUAGGUGAUGGGCCAGGAACUGCAAGAGAGGAAGGAAGGCUGGAUCAGGGCAGGAAGCUUCCAGCUCUCUGGAGGGGAAAAUAUUUUCAUAUCAAAGAUUUGUGAUGUGGUUGAACCAAGAGAAGGACAUAAUGUUAUAAAAAUAUACAUUGCUAAACACAAGUCAUAAUCAAUUUAUAGUGAUAAUUCCUAUCUACCAUGUUCAAGUAAUCUGUGUAACAUAUUCAUGCCCCACAUUUUAAUCUUGCUAACCCUAAGGAUAAGAAGAUAAGAGAUGAUAGAUGAGAAAGAGGGCUUCCACGCUGGGUGAUAAGAAAGGAUGGCAGGGCCGGGCUGUGGCACAGCAGUUAAGUUUCUCUGUUCCACUUCUGCCGCCCGGGGUUCGCUGGUUGGAAUCCCGGAUGCAGACCUACACACCACUUAUCAAGCCAUGCUGUGGCCAUGCUGUGGCAGGCAUCCCACAUACAAAGUAGAGGAAGAUUGGCAUAGAUGUUAGCUCAAGGCCUAUCUUCCUCAGCAAAAUGAGGAGGGUUGGCAGCAGAUGUUAGCUCAGGGUGAAUCUUUCUUAAAAAAAAAAAAGAAAAAGAAAAGAAAGGAAAGGAAAAGAAAGAAUAGGGACAUGUGAGGUGUGGUGGCUGUGUUAGGCAGUAGGAGUUCCCCAUAUGUUGGUCCCUGUAGAUGGGAGCAUGUAAGCCCCUCAGGAGUCAGGAAGCUGGCCCAGGAGAGCAGGCCAAUGACAGGAUUAACUGAUCCUAUUGGGGACAGCAACGGGCCCUGAGGGAGGGAAGGAAGAGCAGGGUCCAAGACCCCAAGAAUGGGGUACAGGAGAGAACAAGGAGGUGAGCCACCUGCCUCAAAGGACAGGCGACCUAAAAGAGAUUACACUAUAUUGAUGCUCCAUCUAAAUAUUCAUUUCUGUACACAAGUGCCUCAGAUCAAAAGCUCAAAAUGUCUUCCUCAAGUUUCUUCAUGAAAAAAGACUCUGAAAGAAAAGGCAAUUACUAGCAUGAGUGAUGGCAAGUAACGAGAACGAGUCGGUAAGAGAAGAGGACAGUAUUCUGAAUGGGGAUUCACAACGGGCUUCAGUGAUAUCCUCGGGCGAUGAUUAGACUCUGCACUGCGACAUGCAGAGCAGAUGAAAGUGCACCAAAAGGGGAUGCGCAAAAGAAACUGGACACAGACUAACGGAUUGCCAGAACAGCACCAGAGCUGAGGGAAGGGACCCAGCACCAGGGGACACUCGUGCUCUGGGGAGCGAGUCUGCUUGCUGUCACUGUGCACCACUGCGAAGACUCUGAGGGGUUAGGAGCUCUCCACCAACCAGUGCAUGCCAACCAAAGACCCCAGGAGUGGGCGACACGCUUAAGACCCAAAAGGAGACUAAGAAAUAAACAGGUCUAGAAGACAGGACGUCACCAUGAGAAUCGACAUUUACGGGUCAGAGGCAAUCACAGAGGAGGACCUGGGGCCUCAGUGAGGAGCGAGUCCUGUCCUCAGUUACUUGGACCAAACAGUAUUCU
Molecule: long non-coding RNA, 8516 nt
Organism: Equus caballus (horse)
Lineage: Eukaryota; Metazoa; Chordata; Mammalia; Perissodactyla; Equidae
Source: Ensembl